Paramisgurnus dabryanus is the source of this 739-nucleotide non-coding RNA. The record is from RefSeq and is a predicted model, not a curated record. NCBI's taxonomy places the organism in Eukaryota, Metazoa, Chordata, Actinopteri, Cypriniformes, Cobitidae.
GUUAUACAUUUUAUAAAAAUAUUUAAUAUUUUUAUUAUUGAUAAAGUAUAAAGAACAAAUUAGUGUGAAAACGCAGAUUAUAAAAAGUACAUAAAGUGCCAGCAGAGGAUCCAAAAUAAUGAAAAAAAAAAAACAUCCAAUGCAACUUGGAAAUUGUAGUCAAAAUACAUCUACAGCAGCAUGCUAAAGCAGUACCAACGCCAGGGCAAAAGACUCAAAUUCCCAGAAUGCACCUGCACCCACCCAUUCAUUCCCACCAAUCAGGAUCAACGGCAUUUUUCAAACCGCUACUGACUCGUUUUCAUGCUAAACAGUACGGCUGAGAGGUCAUGUACCAUGUGGUCGACCUUGCUGACGCUGAAGAGGUUUCUGUGUAAAAAUGAUGACAUUGAGACAAACAGACCAGUUCUGGCUGCCGUGGAGGUCAACACACCACUGAUCUACUGGCUGCCCUUCAACGUGAUGCCCAGCCGAUGCCUGACCACCGACGGAACUAGGGCUGCACGAUAAGUCGCAUGUGUUUGUCAGGCGCAUCUCCUCAGUAAUGCCGGUUCCUUGAUUAGUAUUAAAUCGCCAUCAGCUGUUUUCAGAUGUAGCAGCUUUAACUACACAGAGCCGUAGUUCACUGACAAUCGGGGCAAUUUCGCAUUAAUUAUCGCGGACGUAUCGGCUGCGAUAUGUAUGCGAUAUGGCCCAGCUUGUCAGGGAACUACGGCUCUGUAGUUAAAGCUGCUCCAUC